RNAcentral lists this ribosomal RNA (258 nucleotides) under uncultured bacterium. RNAcentral describes it as "partial 16S ribosomal RNA". The record is from RNAcentral.
CUGCUGCCUCCCGUAGGAGUUUGGGCCGUGUCUCAGUCCCAAUGUGGCCGUCCACCCUCUCAGGCCGGCUACUGAUCGUCGCUUUGGUAGGCCGUUACCCUGCCAACUGGCUAAUCAGACGCGGGUCCAUCGUAUACCACCGGAGUUUUUCACACUGCGCCAUGCGGCACUGUGCGCUUAUGCGGUUUUAGCACCUAUUUCUAAGUGUUAUCCCCCUGUAUACGGCAGGUUACCCACGCGUUACUCACCCGUCCGCCA